GUGUUAGUUCGCUAACACAUUUACUAAAGCGGGAGGAAUACAGAGAAGAUUAGCAUGGCCCCUGCGCAAGGAUGACACGCAAAUUUGUGAAGCGCUCCUCCGUUUU
This 106-nucleotide small nuclear RNA is filed under the name Sphaeramia orbicularis (orbiculate cardinalfish). Lineage: Eukaryota; Metazoa; Chordata; Actinopteri; Kurtiformes; Apogonidae. The record is from RNAcentral.